AAGGAGACCCCUAGUGGUAACAGCUGUGUUCGAAUGUCAGUUAACGGAGCAGUUUGCCAGUCGGAGCUCCUUGCCCACGUCUGGGCUUCACUGUGGGGAAGAAUAAGGCUGAUUUGUGUCUUUCGUAGGGCAGGAAUUUCCCACCGUUAUAGAAAUGGAAAAAUGAAUUUCUUGAAAGUGUUCACAGGACUUCAAAAAUCUGACAUCAGAUACUGCUCUUGGAGAAGUAGGUACAUUUACAUGGAAUGGUGAUGAAAGCUAUAGAAUUAGUAGAUAUACAUACGUGGAACCAACUUCACCUGUGCAGCUGGAUCAAAGUCCAUUCAUUUCUCCUUCCUGCAAGCAUAAAGCCAACAAAUGCUUUGGCAGGUUUGUAAAGAAGAAAAGCAGAAUGCAUGAUACAGAAGGGUAAAGAGAGAAGCAAUGGAAGUGUAGCUACAGAUGAAAUACCUGGAUUGCGUGCACGUAAACAUCCCUCUCAGGAGGGACUUCAAUGCCAAAAGUGGAUGGAAGUGCAUCUGUAGAAACAACAAACUUCUUUGCUGAGGUUAGAGACACACAGAUGAUCCUCAAGGAAGGAAAGGUGCCCUAAGGCAGAAUUGGCAUGGGAACAAAAUGAGAAAGCACCAAGUAAUGGAGCAAGUGGUAUGUGCAAAGAAAUAGUGGCAAUAACUCAAACACACACAUGGCAGCACACUGGCUUUCAUCCUUUUGUAAUGUGCUCUAAAAAUCCCUAUGGAAGAACAUUCUAAGAAACAGCCAGAGAAAUCACAGAACAGUUGAGGAUGGAAGGCAUCUCUGUGUCCCUCAGGCCCAAGCCCUGCUCCAGCAGGAACACCCAGAGCAGGGUGCCCAGGGCCACAUCCAGGCAGCUUUGGAAGAUCCCUAAGGAGGAAAUCCCACAGCUUCUAGGCAGCCUGUGCCAGUGCUCCUGGUGGUCAGAGGGAACCUCCUGUGCGCCACUUUGUGUCCAGUGUCUCUUGUCUUGGUAGCGGGAACAAAACAUAAAUAGCCUAAAAACAAAUACAUGAGGGGGGAGGAAGAAAAAGCUUGAAUCUCUCUCCAUUCAUAUGCUUUGCAACAGGUUGUUGGAACAAGGCUGACUGAAAGCAUAAUUCAGGACAGUUAACUACCAGGUUUGCUGCCUUACAUCAACACCCACCAACACGACUGUGAUCAGAGAUGACGUUUGCCAUAGCUCUCAGUUAAGACCAGGUUCUACUACUGGCAGGAGCACAGAGUACUAAAGAAAUCAUUGAGGCUUAGGCUAGAAAUUAGAUUGACCCAUUUUGCUGAAAGUAAAUCCUUCAGUGAUUAAUAGCAGUUAUACAUUCACAAAAAACAAACAAACAAAUCUAAAAAAAGGCAGCAUGACAAAAAAGAUUUGUUCUGCCCUAUUACAUAACACUUUUAUUCAUCAUACUCAACAAAGCUAAACCUGUACAAGUUUGUACACAUUGCAUUGAAAGAACUGUUCACCAGCUAUAAGAAAAAAUGAACAAAACAUCAGAAACAUUAAACUUAUGGUCCCUUUUGAUUUUCUCUUUUCUCCUUUUUUGGGGGGUCAGUAUCAAUAUAUGAGUUUAAAGCUUUCCAAAGAUAGGAAAAAACACCUGGACAGCCAAAAUAUAGACUAUAGUGCCUCCUUUAGGGGAGGGGAAGGAAAAUCUGUGAUCGGUACCAAAUUUGUAUCUAAAUGCAAAAUUCAAGUUCCACUAUAUAGAAAUGUGAAAUUACAGCCAUUAGUAAAGAAUUAUACGGUUAAACAGUAAAGAUAAAUGGGAUCAAAAGUACAUAUACAGUUAAAGGACAUAGGUAAACAUACAUGACUGUUUAAUUCAAAAUCACAUUUUUACAUAGAAGAAAUAUUACAUUCCAAUCUACCGGUAUGGCUUUCUCCAUGAACAGGUGGGUGUUUCCAGAUUACAAACCCAAAACGUGGUUGCUUAACAACUGAGAAAAAUGUAGCUCUGAAACAGAGAAUUAAUGUAAAGAAAUUAAGAAUGAGACUAAAGCGAGGUUUAUAAUACCAGGAUAGACAUCACUGUGAUUUAGUUUUGGAAGACAUUUCACCUUCGCUUUUAUUAUUUGUCAUAGCUACGGCAGCAUAUUUCACUUGCGAACUUUCAUCGUAAGAUAUGGCAAAAAGGUGUCACUUCCUUAUUUGAGAGACUAAAAUGCACCUGAGCAAAGCUAAACUAAACUGUAAAGGCUAAUGAAAGCAUUCGGCUGGACUCAGUUUUGGCUCGUGGAUGUGCACAAAACAGAACAUAAAAAUAAAUAAACAGCUUUUGGCACUUAUCCACAGGAAGAUGACUUAAAAAAAAGAUAGCUAAGAAAAGCGACCAGCUCACAAUGAAACUGUACAAGCCAUUAGUUCACAUUUAAACAAUAAAUCUGAUUGCAGUUUAGAGCACAAAAAACAUAACUUAAAAUCCUAUUUUAUUCAAAUUUGAAAAACUAUAUUGAUUUUAAGUCGUUUAAAUACAUUCAUUCCCAGUCAAAGUUUUACAGUAACUGAUGAUUUUCCAUCACACACACAACCGAGUUAUAAAUCCCUGAAAUGUGGAUUUAUGAGAGGAAUACUGAUAAAACCUUAACAGAGAUACAAAUGAUACAUCACAUAGCAUCUUACACCUUAACUGUAAGUACUUGACCGUCUUGGAUGGUAGAUGCAUCACUCCUGCUGUCAGACACUAACAACACCAGCCUCUAAGACCAACUGGUUUAACUUGAAUUCAGAACAGCUUGCCAUUACCUAAAAAAGGUGUGGGUUUUUUUUUUCCCCCAACCACACUAGAAAAUGUUCAACUCCUACCUGUAUUUCAAAACUCCUGGAAAGAGAAUUUUCCAGUUAUAACUGGGUCUACAUAUACUAAGCUAGGAGAGUCACUGAAGUGAAUUUUAGAAAGUCAUUUCAGAAUCAGUGCCCUUGCAGAGAUUUAAUAUACAGCAGCGCUUCCCUAGAUCUAAUUGGUGUAUCUUUAUCCUGUGCAUCUCAGAAAUUCAAUCAGUGGCUUUUGGGACUCUUGAAGUUACUCUCAUUCUGGCACUGAGUUUCUGUAUGGAAGGGCGAUUUCCAAACGAAAGGCACUCUGUUAUGGGAGAAAUCAGAAUCAUCAACAAUGCAAACAGACAACCUGACACCUAUUUAAGAGAACUGCUGAAGUCUUCACAAGGUCUGAAAUUAAGUACUUUCCUUAAAAAAGGUGGAAAAAUAACCAGCUAUAGUGCACGUGUCUGCAUGCAUGGAUAUUAGCCACUGUACAAGCACAGUGACCUGCCAGUAUCUCAGCUUUUUCUUCAUUCCAAAGCUUUUUUGGCUUGGGCAGAACCAUAUUUCUGAGGCUCAGCUGCACUAUCAGGUGACUUGCAGAAAGG
This is a long non-coding RNA of Gallus gallus (chicken), 3381 nucleotides long. RefSeq lists it as uncharacterized. The transcript has 3 exons. The record is from RefSeq and is a predicted model, not a curated record. Lineage: Eukaryota; Metazoa; Chordata; Aves; Galliformes; Phasianidae.